CAGCCGCCGCGGUAAUACGGAGGGUGCAAGCGUUAAUCGGAAUUACUGGGCGUAAAGCGUGCGUAGGCGGUUCGUUAAGUCUGUUGUGAAAGCCCUGGGCUCAACCUAGGAAUUGCAUUUGAUACUGUUUGGCUUGAGUUCGGGAGAGGUGAGUGGAAUUCCCAGUGUAGAGGUGAAAUUCGUAGAUAUUGGGAAGAACACCAGUGGCGAAGGCGGCUCACUGGACCGACACUGACGCUGAGGCGCGAAAGCGUGGGGAGCAAACAGGAUUAGAUACCCCCGUAGUCCCUGUCUCUUAUAA
Molecule: ribosomal RNA, 301 nt
Filed under: uncultured bacterium
Lineage: Bacteria
Description: partial 16S ribosomal RNA
Rfam family: Bacterial small subunit ribosomal RNA
Source: RNAcentral